AAGUGCUUAGAUUUCAAAAGCAAAGGUUGUCGCCGCUGAACUGAUAUGCAUGCAACUGUAUCAAUCUUUAACUAGUCACACUUUGAAGUCAAGGAAAUGGAAAAUUCUUAUUACAUCUUAAAGACAAGGAAGAAAAAUGUCGAGCUCUUUUGAGAUCCUACUGUUCAUGAUGAAGUUCUUGAAGGUGUAAACUCCAUCUGUAGUCAUAAAUGCUGUGGGCUCACUGCUCUACCCUGGGCUUCCAUACUGCUAACAGGAAAAAUCCGUCAUGAAAAUAGACCAGCUGCUGGCACAAAACCAAUAACACCUCCUCUCUUUUCACAGGGCAAAGUCACUGCAAUAAGUGCUGCAUCUCAACAGAUAGAAGUCUGAGAGCUUUCUCAGAGGACCUGUGGACACUGAACUACUAAGGUUAGAGG
Pseudopipra pipra is the source of this 419-nucleotide long non-coding RNA. RefSeq lists it as uncharacterized. NCBI's taxonomy places the organism in Eukaryota, Metazoa, Chordata, Aves, Passeriformes, Pipridae. The transcript has 4 exons. The record is from RefSeq and is a predicted model, not a curated record.